RNAcentral lists this ribosomal RNA (684 nucleotides) under Brachybacterium sp. mf19. RNAcentral's name for it is "bacterial SSU rRNA". It matches the Rfam family "Bacterial small subunit ribosomal RNA", at positions 57 to 754 of the family's 1533-position model. The record is from RNAcentral. RNAcentral also lists the same sequence under 1 other name. Lineage: Bacteria; Bacillati; Actinomycetota; Actinomycetes; Micrococcales; Dermabacteraceae.
GCAGUCGAACGAUGAUGGUGGUGCUUGCCUGCCUGAUUAGUGGCGAACGGGUGAGUAACACGUGAGUAACCUGCCCCUCACUUCGGAAUAACCUCGGGAAAUCGUGGCUAAUACCGGAUACGAGCUACUGCCGCAUGGUGGUGGUUGGAAAGAUUUAUCGGUGGGGGAUGGACUCGCGGCCUAUCAGUUUGUUGGUGAGGUAAUGGCUCACCAAGGCGAUGACGGGUAGCCGGCCUGAGAGGGCGACCGGCCACACUGGGACUGAAACACGGCCCAAACUCCUACGGGAGGCAGCAGUGGGGAAUAUUGCACAAUGGGCGAAAGCCUGAUGCAGCGACGCCGCGUGGGGGAUGACGGCCUUCGGGUUGUAAACCCCUUUCAGUAGGGAAGAAGCGAGAGUGACGGUACCUGCAGAAGAAGCGCCGGCUAACUACGUGCCAGCAGCCGCGGUAAUACGUAGGGCGCAAGCGUUGUCCGGAAUUAUUGGGCGUAAAGAGCUUGUAGGUGGCUUGUCGCGUCUGCCGUGAAAACCCGAGGCUCAACCUCGGGCGUGCGGUGGGUACGGGCAGGCUAGAGUGUGGUAGGGGAGACUGGAACUCCUGGUGUAGCGGUGAAAUGCGCAGAUAUCAGGAAGAACACCGAUGGCGAAUGCAGGUCUCUGGGCCAUUACUGACACUGAGAAGC